Molecule: long non-coding RNA, 368 nt
Filed under: Arabidopsis lyrata
Lineage: Eukaryota; Viridiplantae; Streptophyta; Magnoliopsida; Brassicales; Brassicaceae
Description: long non-coding RNA (ALYR_LNC001317)
Source: RNAcentral
AAAACGUAUAAUUUCCUUAUUAUUAUCUUUUGACAUUUUAAAAUUGUUUAUAGAAAUAUUAAUUAUUUACAGUUGUCUUUUUUUUUUAACGUCUAGAUUUAUUAUUUAUUGCAAAUUAUGAGAAAUGUUACAUAGACGAUUCUACAACGGACAAUUCCUUCCGACCCUUAUUAGAUUCACGACGGACGAUACUUCCUUCUUCAUGCUCUUGACGGACACCUUGAAUGAUCCACGACCUAAUGACACUUCUCUCUCUGCGUAGAAUCCUGGCUAACGGCUAUAAUUGUACAUCGCUGGAGAUCUCCUGCACAUUUGCCUCCAUUAAUCUGCAAAUUUAUUGAUAAAUCGCAGUAACUGAGACUCGAAUC